Molecule: ribosomal RNA, 253 nt
Filed under: uncultured bacterium
Lineage: Bacteria
Description: partial 16S ribosomal RNA
Rfam family: Bacterial small subunit ribosomal RNA
Source: RNAcentral
UACGUAGGGUGCGAGCGUUAAUCGGAAUUACUGGGCGUAAAGCGUGCGCAGGCGGUUUCUGAAGUCCGUUGUGAAAGCCCCGGGCUUAACCUGGGAAUGGCAGUGGAAACUAGGAGACUUGAAUCUGGCAGAGGGGGGUGGAAUGCCACGUGUAGCAGUGAAAUGCGUAGAUAUCAGGAGGAAUACCGAUGGCGAAGGCAGGUCUCUGGGCUAACACUGACGCUCAUGCACGAAAGCGUGGGGAGCAAACAGG